CAUGGNUCAGAUUGAACGCUGGCGGCANGCCUAACACAUGCAAGUCGAGCGGUAGAGAGAAGCUUGCUUCUCUUGAGAGCGGCGGACGGGUGAGUAAUGCCUAGGAAUCUGCCUGGUAGUGGGGGAUAACGUUCGGAAACGGACGCUAAUACCGCAUACGUCCUACGGGAGAAAGCAGGGGACCUUCGGGCCUUGCGCUAUCAGAUGAGCCUAGGUCGGAUUAGCUAGUUGGUGGGGUAAUGGCUCACCAAGGCGACGAUCCGUAACUGGUCUGAGAGGAUGAUCAGUCACACUGGAACUGAGACACGGUCCAGACUCCUACGGGAGGCAGCAGUGGGGAAUAUUGGACAAUGGGCGAAAGCCUGAUCCAGCCAUGCCGCGUGUGUGAAGAAGGUCUUCGGAUUGUAAAGCACUUUAAGUUGGGAGGAAGGGCAGUUGCCUAAUACGUAACUGUUUUGACGUUACCGACAGAAUAAGCACCGGCUAACUCUGUGCCAGCAGCCGCGGUAAUACAGAGGGUGCAAGCGUUAAUCGGAAUUACUGGGCGUAAAGCGCGCGUAGGUGGUUUGUUAAGUUGGAUGUGAAAUCCCCGGGCUCAACCUGGGAACUGCAUUCAAAACUGACUGACUAGAGUAUGGUAGAGGGUGGUGGAAUUUCCUGUGUAGCGGUGAAAUGCGUAGAUAUAGGAAGGAACACCAGUGGCGAAGGCGACCACCUGGACUAAUACUGACACUGAGGUGCGAAAGCGUGGGGAGCAAACAGGAUUAGAUACCCUGGUAGUCCACGCCGUAAACGAUGUNNNCUAGCCGUUGGAAGCCUUGAGCUUUUAGUGGCGCAGCUAACGCAUUAANUGNCCGCCUGG
Molecule: ribosomal RNA, 862 nt
Filed under: gamma proteobacterium 6.1.2_I
Lineage: Bacteria; Pseudomonadati; Pseudomonadota; Gammaproteobacteria
Description: bacterial SSU rRNA
Rfam family: Bacterial small subunit ribosomal RNA
Source: RNAcentral